AACGAACGCUGGCGGCAUGCCUAACACAUGCAAGUCGAACGAGACCUUCGGGUCUAGUGGCGCACGGGUGCGUAACGCGUGGGAACCUGCCCUUAGGUUCGGAAUAACUCCCCGAAAGGGGUGCUAAUACCGGAUAAUGUCUUCGGACCAAAGAUUUAUCGCCUUUGGAUGGGCCCGCGUUGGAUUAGCUAGUUGGUAGGGUAAAAGCCUACCAAGGCGACGAUCCAUAGCUGGUCUGAGAGGAUGAUCAGCCACACUGGGACUGAGACACGGCCCAGACUCCUACGGGAGGCAGCAGUGGGGAAUAUUGGACAAGGGGCGAAAGCCUGAUCCAGCAAUGCCGCGUGAGUGAUGAAGGCCUUAGGGUUGUAAAGCUCUUUUACCCGGGAUGAUAAUGACAGUACCGGGAGAAUAAGCUCCGGCUAACUCCGCG
RNAcentral lists this ribosomal RNA (433 nucleotides) under uncultured bacterium. RNAcentral describes it as "partial 16S ribosomal RNA". It matches the Rfam family "Bacterial small subunit ribosomal RNA", at positions 29 to 507 of the family's 1533-position model. The record is from RNAcentral.